UCAUUUCAAUUUCGUUGUCUCAUUUCAUUUGGCUAUCUUUUUGUUUCUUAAAUAUAUUUCUUUUUUGCCAAAGUCAUCUCAAAACCCAGUAAGGUCUUCAACUGUUUCUGCAAAAAAAAGGGUCUUUCUUCACGAAGCAUAAGUGCUUUGAAUUUGAAGCGGAGACGAGACACAAACUUUUGUGUUUUUUAUUCAGAAAAAUAAUCAAAAAGAAAAAUAAAUUUUAAAAUAAUAAUGUAAAACAUUAUUAUACAAUAAAAUAUCAUGUACUUGUACAAUAGAGUUUUUUUAACGUAACUGAUUUAACAAAAUUUCAUCAAUUAUAAUUAACUUUUAACUCUCUAAUAUCUUAAACUAUAUAAUUAAAUGUAAGUAUAUUUAACAUUUACAAUUACAUUUAAUAAAGAAGCCAAUCACAUUUUUUCUUGGUAUAUCUUGAUUUUUGGGUCUGACUUCUGAGACAAAGGCAGGGUUGGAGAAAAGGGAAUGAGAUAUUUCAAGAUCUUGAUUUCUUGGUUUUCAAUUGGGGAUUUUUGGUUUGUUAAUUUGUGAACUUUUGGUUUUGGUGAUUAACAUUUUGAUUUUUCUGUAUAUUUUAUAUUUUUCGGUUGAGGAUGAAGAGGAAAAAUGAUAAAGAAUGUUUGGAUUUUUAUUCGUUUAACAAACAUUGUAGAGGAUGUAAGUGAACAAUUAUUAAAAGAUGACAAUUAUCAAACAAGAGAUGGAAAAUUAAAUAAACUAACUUAAUACAAGAAAUGAAUGAAAGACGGUCCAAUAAUAGAUAUGUAACAGAAUUAGGGGAAAAAACAUAGCCAGACAGUGUGAUGGUAUUGCUUCAAACAGUAAAGUGGACAGCAUAAGAACUCUAUCACCUCACUUAUUCGAUCCAUUAUACCACACACAUACGCAGUCACUACUGCCUGAUUAUAUCCUAUCCUAUUUAAGGUUACGUUAUUAUAAACUAACAAGAAAAAUACUUAAAUGGGACUGUCCUUAUUAAUUAUGAUAAAGAAUUUUGUUUAUCAUUUCUUAAACAAGUCUCCAGCAGCCUUAGUAGCCUUAGCUACAGGACCUUCAGCAGGUUUGGGUGCAGGCUUAAACUGAUGGAGAGAAUCACCAGCCUUAUUUAAAAGAUUCCCUGUAGCAUCUGCUGCCUUACCAGUUUGUUCCACAACAGUUGCUCCUGCUGUUCCUGCUGCACUCUUUGCGUUCUCAAAAGCCUCAGUUGGUGAAAACUUAUUUGCUUCUCCCUUGCCUGCCAUUUUUAAUAACUUAAUUGAUUGGAGGAUAGUUCUGUAAGACUUUAACAAGGUUGUCCAAUUAUUUAUAUAAAAUUAAGGGGGAUUUUUGCAAGAGAAAAUAUCUUUGAAAAUUGUGGUUCACACCUUAUCGAUUUGGAUAUUGAUUACGUGUCACUUCAAAUACUCAUGUCGGCAACACCCAUUUUUUCUUUUUUAUUCGAUUUUUAGUUUUUGCACCAAAUUCCG
RNAcentral lists this long non-coding RNA (1487 nucleotides) under Cicer arietinum (chickpea). Its description in RNAcentral is "long non-coding RNA (CARI_LNC001874)". The record is from RNAcentral. Lineage: Eukaryota; Viridiplantae; Streptophyta; Magnoliopsida; Fabales; Fabaceae.